CCUGGCGGCCGUAGCGCGGUGGUCCCACCUGACCCCAUGCCGAACUCAGAAGUGAAACGCCGUAGCGCCAAUGGUAGUGUGGGGUCUCCCCAUGCGAGAGUAGGGAACUGCCAGGC
RNAcentral lists this ribosomal RNA (116 nucleotides) under Escherichia coli. RNAcentral also lists the same sequence under 3 other names. Lineage: Bacteria; Pseudomonadati; Pseudomonadota; Gammaproteobacteria; Enterobacterales; Enterobacteriaceae. The record is from RNAcentral.